GAGCAAUACGCCAUUCUUGGGGAAAGAGCGACACCUACCGCAUCAUAACCGUUCUGCAACUGACCGGGCAAACCAGAAGGCUUCAAACGUCAAUCACGCUUCAGAGGAGUCCAGCGUGGGGGUACGAAGCCUUUUGUUGGUGUCUCAAGUCUGUUUCUCAAGCUGCCAGCUAAGAAAAGAUGCACAGAGAGCUCAUUCAACUCUACCCCGUCUACAGCCAGUUCUGCUCUCUCAAGCUAUCGGCCAGUUCACAAGAACUGAACAUGAAUUCAGGGGACUCAUGUGGCUCCCAGCAAAGGGCAGAAGAGUCUCUGGUUCCUAUGAUCACUGAGAAGCUCGUCAUCUGAGCCCACACAAAGGAUAGGCAGCUCCAUCCUUCCACACCAAAG
This 389-nucleotide long non-coding RNA is filed under the name Equus caballus (horse). Its description in RNAcentral is "lncRNA (ENSECAG00000047884.1)". Lineage: Eukaryota; Metazoa; Chordata; Mammalia; Perissodactyla; Equidae. The record is from RNAcentral.